GGUAUUAAAGAGUUUUAUUAAACUUAAGCUUAGAUCAUUUUGGGGGUUUAGCUCAGUUGGCUAGAGCAUCGGCUUUGCAAGCCGAGGGUCAAGGGUUCGAGUCCCUUAACCUCCAUUGAGCAUGUGUCUUGAAUUGUGAUUAAUUAUGCUUUCAACUACUUUAAUAAAAGUAGUUAUUGGAAUGUAAAACAGAGUAAUUUAAGAUUUCUGGGUUAAAGUUGGGAUCUGCCUGUUGAUAUUAAUAAGAAUGCCUAGAAGCGAGGACAAACUUUUGAUAAAAAGCGGAUUUGUUUCUCUAUAGUACAAGGAUUGAGCAGCAUUAUAUUUUCCAACAGCCUAUUCUAUAAACGAGCUACAUUUAUUACUAGCUUUUAGUUAGGAAUUGAUGUGGAUUUCCAGUUGUGGUGCUUGGGAGGGGGUAAGCAUUGUAGCGAGCCGUCACCCUUGUUAUCUUUGCCAGUAUGUAAGGAUAUUCUAGACAAGACUGUUAAUUAUAAGUUGGAGGAAAGCCAAGUUUGCGCUAAAUCAGCAUGUUUCUUGUGACCUAGAUUAUAAGCUUGCCGUAAUAGCCUAAAAAAGCUA
RNAcentral lists this transfer RNA (582 nucleotides) under Borreliella americana. Its description in RNAcentral is "partial 16S-23S ribosomal RNA intergenic spacer". The stretch from base 42 to 115 matches the Rfam family "tRNA". Lineage: Bacteria; Pseudomonadati; Spirochaetota; Spirochaetia; Spirochaetales; Borreliaceae. The record is from RNAcentral.